RNAcentral lists this ribosomal RNA (497 nucleotides) under uncultured bacterium. RNAcentral describes it as "partial 16S ribosomal RNA". It matches the Rfam family "Bacterial small subunit ribosomal RNA", at positions 28 to 507 of the family's 1533-position model. The record is from RNAcentral.
GAUGAACGCUGGCGGCGUGCCUAAUACAUGCAAGUCGAGCGAACAGAUGAGGAGCUUGCUCCUCUGACGUUAGCGGCGGACGGGUGAGUAACACGUGGAUAACCUACCUAUAAGACUGGGAUAACUUCGGGAAACCGGAGCUAAUACCGGAUAAUAUAUUGAACCGCAUGGUUCAAUAGUGAAAGACGGUUUUGCUGUCACUUAUAGAUGGAUCCGCGUCGCAUUAGCUAGUUGGUAAGGUAACGGCUUACCAAGGCAACGAUGCGUAGCCGACCUGAGAGGGUGAUCGGCCACACUGGAACUGAGACACGGUCCAGACUCCUACGGGAGGCAGCAGUAGGGAAUCUUCCGCAAUGGGCGAAAGCCUGACGGAGCAACGCCGCGUGAGUGAUGAAGGUCUUCGGAUCGUAAAACUCUGUUAUUAGGGAAGAACAAAUGUGUAAGUAACUAUGCACGUCUUGACGGUACCUAAUCAGAAAGCCACGGCUAACUACGUG